GAUGAACGCUGGCGGCGUGCCUAACACAUGCAAGUCGAGCGUGAACCGUCUGAAUGAAACUUCGGUCGAGUGAGGAUGGGGAAAGCGGCGGACGGGUGAGUAACGCGUAGGCAACCUGCCCCGUACAGAGGGAUAGCCUCGGGAAACCGGGAUUAAGACCUCAUAAUACCAUUAUCUCACAUGUGAUAAUGGUCAAAGAUUUUAUCGGUAUGGGAUGGGCCUGCGUCUGAUUAGCUGGUUGGUGGGGUAACGGCUCACCAAGGCGACGAUCAGUAGCCGACCUGAGAGGGUAAUCGGCCACAUUGGAACUGAGACACGGUCCAAACUCCUACGGGAGGCAGCAGUGGGGAAUAUUGCACAAUGGGCGAAAGCCUGAUGCAGCAACGCCGCGUGAGCGAGGAAGGCCUUUGGGUCGUAAAGCUCUGUCGAGGAGGAAGAUAAUGACGGUACUCCUCGAGGAAGCCCCGGCUAACUACGUGCCAGCAGCCGCGGUAAAACGU
RNAcentral lists this ribosomal RNA (500 nucleotides) under uncultured bacterium. RNAcentral describes it as "bacterial SSU rRNA". It matches the Rfam family "Bacterial small subunit ribosomal RNA", at positions 28 to 528 of the family's 1533-position model. The record is from RNAcentral.